UGUAAGCGUAUACCAAAGUUGUUGCAGUUAAAACGCUCGUAGUCGGAAUUUGGCAGUUCCGGAUGUGUGCACGUCGUGUGCGCACUUCGCGGGGAUUGCUUUUGUGGUCUUGCGUAGGAUGAGGCACUUUUAUUAGUGAACGUCCUCACGCAACCACUUUUUACUGUGAGAAAAUCAGAGUGCUCAAAGCAGGCAUUUGCCGUGAAUGUAUUAGCAUGGAAUGAUAGAAUAGGACUUGGUUCUAUUUUGUUGGUUUGUUGGGACUGAGUAAUGAUUAAGAGGGACAGUUGGGGGCAUUUGUAUUUCGGUGCUAGAGGUGAAAUUCUUAGAUUACCGAAAGACAAACUGCUGCGAAAGCGUCUGCCAAGGAUGUUUUCAUUGA
This 382-nucleotide ribosomal RNA is filed under the name uncultured eukaryote. Its description in RNAcentral is "partial 18S ribosomal RNA". It matches the Rfam family "Eukaryotic small subunit ribosomal RNA", at positions 592 to 976 of the family's 1831-position model. The record is from RNAcentral.